UACGGAGGGGACUAGCGUUGUUCGGAAUUACUGGGCGUAAAGCGCGCGUAGGCGGAUUUGCAAGUCGGGGGUGAAAGCCCGAGGCUCAACCUCGGAACUGCCCUCGAUACUGCAAAUCUCGAGUCCGAGAGAGGUGAGUGGAAUUCCUAGUGUAGAGGUGAAAUUCGUAGAUAUUAGGAAGAACACCAGUGGCGAAGGCGGCGCACUGGCUCGGUACUGACGCUGAGGCGCGAAAGCGUGGGGAGCAAACAGG
This 253-nucleotide ribosomal RNA is filed under the name uncultured bacterium. Its description in RNAcentral is "partial 16S ribosomal RNA". It matches the Rfam family "Bacterial small subunit ribosomal RNA", at positions 524 to 776 of the family's 1533-position model. The record is from RNAcentral.